This 1076-nucleotide unclassified non-coding RNA is filed under the name Hevea brasiliensis (rubber tree). Lineage: Eukaryota; Viridiplantae; Streptophyta; Magnoliopsida; Malpighiales; Euphorbiaceae. The record is from RNAcentral.
GGCACAAUUAAUUAGAAUAAAAAGUAAGGAGUUCAAACAAGUCAAAAAUCCAAACUAAGGAUUUAAAAGGUAAUUUGCCAUUGAUACCCAAUCAUGGGUUGACACAUGGCAAAGAAAACUUCCUUGUGAAGCUUGGAGGCUGAAAAUUCUGCUCCCUUCAUUUUGGCUGAAUCUAUCUAAAAAAAAAGCAAUUUUUUCAUCUUCUCUUUCUUUCAAUCAAACUCCACUAAACCAUCUUCUUGCCCUAACUCUAACCAUCUUCAUCUUUCAACAAAAACCAUCAUUUCCACCAUGAAACUAACAAGCUCAGCCCCCAAAUUAACAUUCUAGUAUAUGUUUGCUCAAAAGAAAGAAAAAGGGGGAAAGAAAAGAAGAGGACACAGAAGAGAUGAAAGGAGCAGGAGAAUAUGAAGCAACUGAUGGCUCUCGCAUUUCAGUUUAAUAGGUUGCUCAAACUCAAAAAGAUAUAUAGUUGAUCAGUGUCUGAAUUGCUUGAUUUCCCGGAAACUCUCUCGUGAGAGCAAAAGGAAGAAGGUUUUAAAAAGUAAACGCCAAAGUCUCCGAUUGCAUCAGGUGUCUCUUUGGAAUGGCCUGCGGAUAGUGAUAUCUGUAGAAUGAACUGUCAUCCUACGACCUCUAGUUUUGCAUCUCAAGUAGCACCAUUUAGCAUGGAUUUUCUAGAUGAUUCUCCUCAAUUUGAUGCUGAAGAAGAAGCGCUUAAGACAUUAGUUAUCAGGAAGAAAUCAGGCUUAUCUUUCUUAGUUCAUGAUGAUGAGGUGGUUCAAAUCUUCCUCAAGCAAAUUCGUGAGGAGUUGGAGACAUUCAAGGGAAUUAGGUUAGUCUAUUUUUGGGGUUCUGCAGAUUUUUUCUUGUUAUGUCCUGUUUCUUUGCUAUAUGUCUUUAGCUACUUUGGUUUCAACUUCCCUAGUUGUUAUCGCAUUCUGCCUAUCAUCUUCACUUUUUAGUGUGCCUUGUGCCUUGUGGGUUAUCUUGUUUCUGAGUUUAAACCUGUGUGUUUUGAGCCCUCUUUUUCGAUCUAUUUUUUUUGGGUUGUACCUUUAUACUACUCUUUUUGU